GUGGAUGACCUGGGUUGACCCACUUUGACCGGUCUCUAGUCAGCUAUUUUUUUCCGAAAUCACUGCAGCGUGACAGGGAAGGUCGAUGGUACAAAUUCUUGUUCGGAUCUACGAAAUUAUACUGGAUUACAUUAUAAAAUGAAGUUCACGUUUAAGGAAGAGAAUACAUUUGAAACCCGUAAAUGUGAGUCGGAUAAAAUACGUUCCAAGUAUCCUGAUAGAAUUCCAGUUGUGGUUCAGAAGGCUCCAAGAAGCAACAUCCCGGAGAUAGACAAAGAGCAAUUUCUUGUCCCCAGUGACCUUUCAGUGGCUCAGUUUAUGUAUAUCAUCAGGAAGAGGAUUGAGCUUCCUCCCGAGAGGAACCUCUUCCUUUUUGUGAAUAAAGUUUUACCAACAACAAGUGCCACCAUGGGAAGUAUCUAUGAAGAACACAAAGACGAGGAUGGCUUCCUUUAUGUAGCUUACAGCGGAGAAAACACAUUUGGCUGAGACGAGGCCCAGUAUUCUCCAUGGCCUGUUUUUAUAUGGCACUACACCUUAUUGAGCUUGUGCCAUCUUAUUAGGUGAGGCAAAGACAGAGGUACCAGCAGUCAAAAACUCAACGGACAUUAGUGCUCCUUGGUUGCAGGAGUGAGUGUGGCUUCGGCAUGAACCAAAGGAACGGCAGAGAAGACACCGAGCUGCUGCGUGGGGGAAAUUAUACAAACUGAAAGCCCUAGGAUUUUGAAUUGAGUAAAAUUUCACACUUAUAGCUAGGGUGUUAGAAACAGUGGAAUAUCUCAGCUAAUAACUGAAGCACUUAAUUAGACUUGAUGUUUUCGUUUUGAGAAAUAAAUUUCAAAUCAUGUGAGAUAUAUACA
Molecule: unclassified non-coding RNA, 860 nt
Filed under: Lingula anatina
Lineage: Eukaryota; Metazoa; Brachiopoda; Lingulata; Lingulida; Lingulidae
Description: autophagy-related protein 8, transcript variant X1
Source: RNAcentral